GCGGUUAUGGUCCAAUGGUAGAAUCCUUGCUUGCCAUGCAAGGGACACGAGUUCGAUUCUCGUUAACCGCUCCA
This 74-nucleotide transfer RNA is filed under the name Thioploca sp. Its description in RNAcentral is "tRNA-Gly". It matches the Rfam family "tRNA". Rfam says of the family: Transfer RNA (tRNA) molecules are approximately 80 nucleotides in length. Their secondary structure includes four short double-helical elements and three loops (D, anti-codon, and T loops). Lineage: Bacteria; Pseudomonadati; Pseudomonadota; Gammaproteobacteria; Thiotrichales; Thiotrichaceae. The record is from RNAcentral.